CCCAUGUGAACAUACCUAACGUUGCCUCGGCAGGUCGCACCUACCUUGUAGCACCCUACCCUGUAGGGCCUACCCGGGAGAUGCGGGUAAGCCUGCCGGCGGCCCACCAAACUCUGUUUGAUAUUGAAUUCUGAACAUAUAACUAAAUAAGUUAAAACUUUCAACAACGGAUCUCUUGGUUCUGGCAUCGAUGAAGAACGCAGCGAAAUGCGAUAAGUAAUGUGAAUUGCAGAAUUCAGUGAAUCAUCGAAUCUUUGAACGCAUAUUGCGCCCAUUAGUAUUCUAGUGGGCAGGACCGUUCGAGCGUCAUUUCGACCCUUAAGCCUUAGUUGCUUAGUGUUGGGAGCCUACGGCAACGUAGCUCCUCAAAGUUAGUGGCGGAGUUGGUUCACACUCUAGACGUAGUAAUUUUUUAUCUCGCCUAUUAGUUGGACUGAUCCCCUGCCGUAAAACCCCCAACUUAUCAAGGUUGACCUCGAAUCGGUUCAGACAAACUCGCUAAAUUGAAGCAUCUUAGUCAGCGAAGGAAAAGAAACCAACAGGGAUUGCCCUAGUAACGGCGAGUGAAGCGGCAACAGCUCAAAUUUGAAAUCUGGCCCUCGGGUCCGAGUUGUAAUUUGUAGAGGAUGCUUUUGGCGCGGUGCCUUCCGAGUUCCCUGGAACGGGACGCCUUAGAGGGUGAGAGCCCCGUACGGUUGGACACCAAGCCUCUGUAAAGCUCCUUCGACGAGUCGAGUAGCUUGGGAAUGCUGCUCUAAAUGGGAGGUAAAUU
RNAcentral lists this ribosomal RNA (772 nucleotides) under fungal endophyte. RNAcentral describes it as "eukaryotic LSU rRNA". The stretch from base 471 to 772 matches the Rfam family "Eukaryotic large subunit ribosomal RNA", at positions 1 to 305 of the family's 3401-position model. Lineage: Eukaryota; Fungi. The record is from RNAcentral.